Molecule: transfer RNA, 58 nt
Filed under: Chandlerella quiscali
Lineage: Eukaryota; Metazoa; Nematoda; Chromadorea; Rhabditida; Onchocercidae
Description: tRNA-Thr
Source: RNAcentral
AGCUGAAUUAGUUUAAUUUUUAAAAUUUCUAAUUUGUAAUUAGAAGAUUUUUCAGUUU